RNAcentral lists this unclassified non-coding RNA (253 nucleotides) under Archaeorhizomyces sp. RNAcentral's name for it is "partial contains 5.8S ribosomal RNA, internal transcribed spacer 2, and large subunit ribosomal RNA". The stretch from base 1 to 67 matches the Rfam family "5.8S ribosomal RNA", at positions 84 to 154 of the family's 154-position model. Lineage: Eukaryota; Fungi; Ascomycota; Archaeorhizomycetes; Archaeorhizomycetales; Archaeorhizomycetaceae. The record is from RNAcentral.
GUGAGUCAUCGAAUCUUUGAACGCACAUUGCGCCUCCCGCAAGGGAGGCAUGCCUGUCUGAGCGUCAUUUAAACCAUAGACCCUUUGUGGGUUUGUCAUGGGCUUUGCACGUUGUGCAUUGCCUCAAAGUCAUCGGUCUAACAAGCAGACGAGAUCCAUUAGGACAGACUGUUUCAUUGACCUUAAAUCUCUGACUUGACCUCAGAUCAGGUAGGACUACCGCCUGAACUUAAGCAUAUCAAUAAGCGGAGGA